Molecule: ribosomal RNA, 253 nt
Filed under: uncultured bacterium
Lineage: Bacteria
Description: partial 16S ribosomal RNA
Rfam family: Bacterial small subunit ribosomal RNA
Source: RNAcentral
UACAGAGGUGGCAAGCGUUGUUCGGAAUUACUGGGCGUAAAGGGCGCGUAGGCGGGGAGGUAAGUCGGGUGUGAAAUCCCUCGGCCCAACCGAGGAACUGCGCCCGAGACUGCUUCUCUUGAGUCCCGGAGAGGAAGGUGGAAUUCCCGGUGUAGCGGUGAAAUGUGUAGAGAUCGGGAGGAACACCGGUGGCGAAGGCGGCCUUCUGGACGGUGACUGACGCUGAGGCGCGAAAGCGUGGGGAGCAAACGGG